This 424-nucleotide unclassified non-coding RNA is filed under the name soil metagenome. RNAcentral's name for it is "partial contains 5.8S ribosomal RNA, internal transcribed spacer 2, and large subunit ribosomal RNA". The stretch from base 1 to 120 matches the Rfam family "5.8S ribosomal RNA", at positions 35 to 154 of the family's 154-position model. The record is from RNAcentral.
GAUGAAGAACGUAGCGAAAUGCGAUAAGUAAUGUGAAUUGCAGAAUUCAGUGAAUCAUCGAAUCUUUGAACGCACCUUGCGCUCCUUGGUAUUCCAAGGAGCAUGCCUGUUUGAGUAUCAUUAAAUUAUCAACUGUGCCAAUUUGGUUACAGAUUGGAUGUGGGAGAUUCUUUUUGCAGGCCUUUGACUUCUCUUUGAGAAAAAAAUAAAAGGUCGGCUCUCCUGAAAUGUAUUAGCAGUGCCUUUGUUGGUUCAUUAGGUGUGAUAAAUUGUCUACAUCUUCACAUGAUACCUUCAUUUGUAAAGGUUAUAUUGAUUCUAAAUUGUCUUUGAUUGGACGCAAAACAUAUAUAAUGUUUGACAAACUUGAUCUCAAAUCAGGCAGGACUACCCGCUGAACUUAAGCAUAUCAAUAAGCGGAGGA